UUCUCUGAUAAGCUGUAUUUAGAGGGCAUUUGGGCACAUACAUCCUGAGCUCUAGGAGCCAGGCAUUGUGCUAUUAGCUGUGGAUAUUAUAGCACAGAUUUUUCAUCUUCCAGGAGCUUAUAGUAAACAGGUAAUUUUAGUGUAAUAUAAAGCUGUUGAGAUGACGGUAAGUUCAGGGAGCUCUAAGAGGAUAGAUGGAUGCCUAACCCAGUUUAGAGGGAUGGGAGGUGUUUCCAGGAAGAGGUUGCAUGAAAGGCUUAUAAAGUAAUGGGUAAAACCACAGGUCUGAUUCCAGAACUUACCUCGGGUAAGUUCUUUACUUGCUCUUUCUCUUUCUUUUUUUUUGAUAGAGGGUCUCACUCUGUUGCCCCAGCUGGAGUACAGUGUUGUGAACAGGGCUUACUGCAGCCUCGACCUCGUGGGCUCAGAUAAUCUUCCUGCCUCAGGCUUCUGAGUAGCUGGGACCACAGGUGCACACCACCACACCUGACUAAUUAAAAAAAAUUUUUUUUGUAGAGAUAGAGUCUCACCAUGUUGCCUAGGCUGGUCUUGAAUUCCUGGGCUGAAGCAAUCCUCUCGCUUUGGCCUCCCAAAGUGCUGGGAUUACAGGUGUUAGCCGCUGUGCCUGGCCAAGUUCCUUACUCUAAGCUCCAGUUUCUAUAAAAUGAGAAUGACAAAAACUACCUCUUAGGUUGUUGUGAGGAGAAAACUAAGAAAUUCAUGUCAAGGACUUGGUACAUAGUAAAGGUUAAGUAAAUGGCAGCAGCUAUGUUUACUUACUACACAUUAGGUUUUCUUUUUUCUUAUCACCUUUAAGUAAACCUGAGGGAUGAUGAGCAGCCAGCUAAACAAGGGUAGAGAGGGUUAAUGGGAAAGGCAUUCUAGAAAAAGCUUUAAGACUUAUUUUUUAGAAAUGUAUUUGGCUUAUGAUUUUCUUGCUUCCCUACAUUUAUCUAGAUAAAAAGAAUUUCAGUAGGAAUUCAUCAUUAACCUAACUUUUAAGAUAAAUUUUACUCAAAGUGGGCAGGAAGUUUGAAAGUUUUUAAAAGGCUUGUUCUUCCUUAGACAUGCUGAAAUAAGUGUGACUAAAGGAGGAUGUUAUUUCCAUAUUUAUGACUACUAGGUCUUAGUUAUAAGUAUUUUAAAGAACACUUGUAGGAAAUCAUGAAAAUUUCAUGCCAGCAACAAAAACAUUAAGUGUUAGAAUAAAAAGCAGAUUUUCUUUGUGGUGAUUUGUUUGUAUUUUUGAAGCAAACUAGGGUUACCUGUUACCUGUUUGUCACAUGCUACUUAAAUUUUUAUUUCCUUCUCCAACAAAUUGUUUACUAUUAACUAGUAAUCUUAGUAACAAAAAUGCCUUCUUAAAUGGUCAUAUCUUCAAGGAAAGGACUUUUUUAAAACCGCUAUCAAUAUUAUGAUUAAUAGAUUUGUUCUUUAAAAUUUAAGACUGGGUAUUUAAUCUGUGUGGUUAAGGAAUCUGUCCUUUUUUUUUUUUUUGAGACAGUCUCGCUGUGUCGCCUAGGUUGGAGUGCAGUGGUGCAAUCUUGGCUCACUGUAACCUCUGCCUCCCGAGUUCAAGCGAUUCUCCUGCCUCAGCCUUCUGAGUAGCUGGGACUACAGGCAUGUGCCACCACACAUGGCUAAUUUUUUGUAUUUUAAAUAGAGACAGGGUUUUUACCAUGUUGGCCAGGCUGGUCUCAAACUCCUGGCCUCAAGUGAUCCACCCACCUCAGCCUCCCAAAGUGCUGGGAUUACAGGUGUGAGCCACCACACCUGGCCUCAUCCUAUUUUUAAAAUAAAAUAAUUUAUUUAGAAUUCAAAGAAAGAGUCUUAACAAC
This 1838-nucleotide long non-coding RNA is filed under the name Homo sapiens (human). RNAcentral's name for it is "HSALNT0318768". Lineage: Eukaryota; Metazoa; Chordata; Mammalia; Primates; Hominidae. The record is from RNAcentral.